GCAGUAGGCUUGCAUUCUCAAACUCUUCAAUUCAUAUUCUCAGCUUUUUCUACUACUAGUUCACAUAAUGGAAAGGAAAAGAAAUAGCUACCCCACGGAUGCGUGUGAAAAGAUCUACAAAGCAUUCACUGUCUCUCCUGCUUUCCAUACGAUUCGUCGCAUAUCACAUCGCGUACAACAUACCGGAUCUCCCAGCCCUGCUUCCAAUUCUUCGGCUUCGCCACCUGCUCCCUUUGGGAAAACCAUUGAUAUACAAUCCAAAUCGGGCUCUUCAAACCAUCCCAAAUCAUCUAGAAAUAGUGAAGUUGCUGCCUUGGUUCCCAUAAACUUUGACUAUUCAAGCCUGAAUGAGAAACCAAAGUCAUCUACUCCACCUGAGCUCGUUCAGAAAAACACCCAAAUAGCAAAAGUUCCUUCCAAGAUUGAACCUGAAACUACACCAGCAAACACUAUUGCUGAUGAAGUAACUAAGGUCAAUCCUAAAGUAAAAUCGGAAAAAGGUGGAAAAUCAGGAGUGCACAUUGAAGAUAGAGUCACUGACUACAUCAAUCGUGCAAAGCUUAUGAUCAGAAACAUGUCAAGAUCAAGUGAAGGAAAAAAUGGCACUAGAAAAGAUAAAGAAAAGUUAUCAGACAAUAUCUCAGAGAAGGAUAAGUUUUCGGAUUACAUUGAUCGUACCAGGAAUAAGCUCCAAAAAGCAUCAAGCAUUGGAGCUGGAGAGAGCAACUCUUUCAAAUGAAGAUGUGACGAGAGGCUAUUGACGAACUUCCAGGUAAUUAAGAGGCUUAAUUGGAUGAAUAAUGAUGGUUUUAUUAUGGAUCAAAUGAUUGCCAAAUCUGUUUCUUUUUAUUGUUUUUUUAAAUUAUUGAAUUGUCAAAUAUGUUUAUUACUGUAUUCAUUAACGAGAUGGUUGCCUGUACUAAAACCUUAAUAAUAAGGUUUUUCCAUUUGGAUUGGUGAAAUCACAAUGGAAAGAUGUUCUU
This 983-nucleotide unclassified non-coding RNA is filed under the name Hevea brasiliensis (rubber tree). The record is from RNAcentral. Lineage: Eukaryota; Viridiplantae; Streptophyta; Magnoliopsida; Malpighiales; Euphorbiaceae.